CAGAGAAAAACACCAUAGAAGUUUAAACACUGAAAAAGUUAAAAUAUAACUGAGUGAUUAAAAUCGUUAACCUCCAAUGCAACCCAAUACUUGUAAAAUCUAGUGUUUCAGGAUUCAAACUAAAAAUCUAGAACCCACAUAAAGCAAUGGUUAAUUAAAAGAAAAACUCUACAGAAAUAAUUGUUUCUGAUAUAGAGUAAAAUGACUUUCUAAGUAGAAAAAGAAGAAAAGUAGAAAAAGGAGAUAAUGAAGAAACAGCCAUUAUUCAGUCAUUUUUCUGCAGCUUUACCUGAAAGGAGAAUUGCUUCUAUGUGAUUCAUUACAAGAUACCAACAGCAUCAGGUUCAGGAAUUGUUUGAGGAAAGUGUUCCUGACAGUGCCAUUGAGGAACAACUACCGCCCGCAAUUAUAAUGACUUCAAUAUUUACCUGAAGGAGACACCAAACAUGUGGACUCUCAGUUCCCAGACCUUCUGGUUUCCAAAAGCCUUCCUUACACUGGAGUUCAGCCAUUAUCUGCCACUGUAUUUACCUUAACCUCUUAUUUUACCAAUACCUUAAACUACCUUGCCUCUAUAUCUCAUGAGUGGAGGCCUUAAUCUAGAAGACCCACACAUCCAAGCUGUUUCCUGGAAAGUUGGCUGUCAUGUUGGAGCUGCAAUAGGAAGAGGUCAUAUGUCAAGGAACUGAAGGCAGCUGGUAGCUGGUAGCGAGCGAGGAGCUAAGGCUCUCAGCCCAACAGCCCACAAAGAAGUAAAUCUUGCCAACAACCAUGGGAGUGAACUUGGAUGCAGAUCUUGCCCUAGUUGAGCCUUGAAAUGACUGAAGCCCUGGCUAACACCUUGAUUACAAUCUUGUGAGAAGCCUUGAGCCACAGGUCCCCAGGGUACUCCCAGGGAAGACAAUGCCCUCUGGAAAUAAUCAUACCAUCAAAAAUCGCCAGCCACAUAAUGAAGUUAACAUCCAUGAAAGAAUCAACAGAUGCAACACAGCCAUGCUGACUCCUUGCUCUUCCUGUGGCACACCAGAUUUACUCCCCCUUCAAAACUUUUGCAUCUAAAGGAGUAAACAAAAUGUUUUCUUCACAUCAGGUUCAACAAAACCUUGAACAGGAAAUUUGGACACACUGAGAGAAACCAAGGAUGUGCCAGCACAGAGGGAUGACCAUGUGAUGAUUCAGCAAGAGAGUGGCCAUCUGCAAGGCAAGAAGAGAGGCCUCAGAAGAAACCAAACCUGCCAGCACCUACA
Delphinapterus leucas (beluga whale) is the source of this 1247-nucleotide non-coding RNA. The record is from RefSeq and is a predicted model, not a curated record. NCBI's taxonomy places the organism in Eukaryota, Metazoa, Chordata, Mammalia, Artiodactyla, Monodontidae.